GGCUAUAGCCAAGCGGUAAGGCAACGGACUUUGACUCCUUCGAUUCCGUCCUUGUGUCGGCGGUUCGAUUCCGUCCCGAGCCA
RNAcentral lists this transfer RNA (83 nucleotides) under Anoxybacillus flavithermus. Its description in RNAcentral is "tRNA-Gln". It matches the Rfam family "tRNA". From Rfam's summary of the family: Transfer RNA (tRNA) molecules are approximately 80 nucleotides in length. The record is from RNAcentral. Lineage: Bacteria; Bacillati; Bacillota; Bacilli; Caryophanales; Anoxybacillaceae.